ACUCCGGAGACGGCGUUGGUUUUGGGGUGUGGGGGGUUGGUGGCACUAUGUGGCGCGUCUGUGCGCGACGGGCUCAGAAUGUAGCCCCAUGGGCGGGACUCGAGGCUCGGUGGACGGCCUUGCAGGAGGUACCCGGAACUCCACGAGUGACCUCGCGAUCUGGCCCGGCUCCCGCUCGUCGCAACAGCGUGACUACAGGGUAUGGCGGGGUCCGGGCACUGUGCGGCUGGACCCCCAGUUCUGGGGCCACGCCGCGGAACCGCUUACUGCUGCAGCUUUUGGGGUCGCCCGGCCGCCGCUAUUACAGUCUUCCCCCGCAUCAGAAGUUCCAUUGCCUUCUCUUUCCCCCACAAUGC
This 356-nucleotide long non-coding RNA is filed under the name Homo sapiens (human). Its description in RNAcentral is "HSALNT0181114". The record is from RNAcentral. Lineage: Eukaryota; Metazoa; Chordata; Mammalia; Primates; Hominidae.